CAAGGAAUUUUCGGCAAUGGGCGCAAGCCUGACCGAGCAACGCCGCGUGGAGGAUGACGGCUUUCGGGUUGUAAACUCCUUUUCGGUGGGACGAAUAUUGACGGUACCACCUGAAUCAGGCCCGGCUAACUACGUGCCAGCAGCCGCGGUAAUACGUAGGGGUCGAGCGUUGUCCGGAUUUAUUGGGCGUAAAGGGUGGGCAGGUGGUCGGUGAUGUGCCGUGUGAAAGCGCCGUAGUCAUGACGGCGAGGUCGCGGUAGACACAUCGACUUGAGGCAGUGAGGGGGCAGUGGAAUUCCCGGUGUAGUGGUGAAAUGCGUAGAUAUCGGGAGGAACACCAGUGGCGCAAGCGGCUGCCUGGCACUGACCUGACACUGAGCCACGACGGCGUGGGGAGCAAACGGG
RNAcentral lists this ribosomal RNA (405 nucleotides) under uncultured Chloroflexota bacterium. RNAcentral describes it as "bacterial SSU rRNA". It matches the Rfam family "Bacterial small subunit ribosomal RNA", at positions 355 to 776 of the family's 1533-position model. Lineage: Bacteria; Bacillati; Chloroflexota. The record is from RNAcentral.